GGCGGAUAAAAAUAAAAAACUGGUAAAAAAAAAAAAUAACCAGCUGAUAUCAAGGAGAUAAACUUGAUAAUUUAAACUACAAUAACCAAUAACACGGCAAGUAGAGUACAUGGACCAGUAGUGGUGUGCGUUGUACCAAAGUCACAACCAACCUUGUCCUCAGGUUGCCCAUCUCUGUCAGCCGGGUGCAUCCAGUUAAUGUCGAGACCGUCGAAGCUGUAGGUCUUGAGCAUCUCGACGGCGCUUCCGACGAAGAUUUUCCUUUUACUAGCAUCUCCGGAUAACUGUGAUAUGUGUCAGAGUGUAAAUAAGGUGGACGUAGAGAUCUCGGCGAAGCCAUAGACCAGAACUCACCGGAGAGGGACAGCCCCGCAACCACAAUGAAAGUCGAUGCCACAAGCGUUAGCAUCGUGAGUGUGGGCUGCACUGGGUUACCUUGUGACUACUGAUCCCGGUUUGUUCGUGGAGUGCUAAAGGGCAGGUUCAGGAAGCCCUCGUUCAUGGACCUGAUGAGGUUGUAGGGCCGCCCCGUGCAGGACCCCGAGAAGUCGUCCGUCUCCAGACUCCACACCAUCGUCCCCGCCAGGCCUUGGCUCCGGGCGUACUGACCCUGGGGAGGAUAUCGCGCUGUUUGACCGUCUCUCUCUCUCUCUCUUUCUCUCUUCAUUUCUCCUUCCUCCUCUCCCCUCUCUUCUGCCUCUUUUACCAACUUUGGCCAUAAAAAAACUACUAGGACUUGGGAAGGUUUGCUAUUACCAACACAAAAGGAGGUGAUGAGCACAAACAUCACAUUAAUAUUUACGCCUAAAAUCCAAUAAAAAACAUAACAUCAAUACAAUAUAUAAGAAGGAAAGGGAUAGAUGGGGGAUAAAAAGGGCAAAGGAAAGGAUGUUUGAAGGAAAAGGAAGAGAGAGAGAGUAGGGCGAAAAAUAGAAGAGGGGAAAGAAUGGCAAGGAGGAAGAAGUGUACAAAGUAUCUCAAAAUACCAGAAGUACUAAACGAAUUCAAAACCACAAUCGGAUGAACGGACACUGCCACAGUAUAAACGAAGUGAAAACAGACAUAUCCUGGCAAAAAAGAGAGAGAGAGAGAGAGAGAGAGAGAGAGAGAGAGAGAGAAGGGCUACUUAGUUUUAGAAAUAUAUGCAGAAGGAAAUAGGUGAUGAAGUGAUACAAAAAUACGACGAAAGGAAAAAAAUAGAAAAAAAAUGAAGAAGAAAAGACAACAUACAAAUCCGACGCACAAAAAUAAAGAAAUAUAUAAGAAAUUCAAUAGAGAAGUGAAAAAGAAUACAAGUAAACAAAUUAAAUGUGGAAAAGGGAAAACUAAUGAUAAAUGUAAAGACAGCAACCGGAACCGGAAGUAGCAAACACAUAUAUAAAAUAACACCACGAGAAUGGAAACCAAUAUCCACAACUGUCAAAAAUCCACAAAGAGAAAAUACAUCAAAGAAAGAACCUAAGACUACAAGGGGUGCUAUACCCGAAGGCAGACGUAGGAGUGCCAGGAGAAGACACCACCAUCUCCACGCCAUGAAAGAAGAGGCGGAAGGAAGCACCGGAAGCCAAGCAACAGGAAAAAAUAACUUACAGUGAGAAAUUCUUCAUGCAGAAGGGGACGCGUUUAAGAAGGGCAUAACAAAUGAUCCAAAGGAUACUGGAAGGAGGACAGACACAAAUCAAUGGGGAAAAUGCACAAUAAAUCUUAUAUACAAAAGAGGAGACAGAACCACGUGCGACAACUGUAAGUAAUAAUACAAUAAACCUUAAAUAAAAGAAGCAGCACCCUAUGUAAAAAAAAAUACAUAGCAAUCGGCCUGCUAUCACAUGCCUAUAAGGUGUUCACCAAAAUGAUAGAAAAUAGAAUUGAACUUAGAAAAUGGAUCUACCAAAAUGAUAAAUAACAUUUACUAAGGGACAUCGGCGAUAGUAAGAAAGUGCUACUUGAGAACAGAAGAACUCAAGACAAGUAAAAGAGCAUUGCAAGGAUAUUACAAGGGUGUUCAACAUAUAAGUUGAUGAUGAAGUCUUUGGGCGAGACAGAACACAGUAUCUAGAGAAAACGUAGGUUUUGAUGUAGAUGAUAUCGAAUAACUACGGAAAACCUCGAUGAACUAAGCGAAAUGGCAAGAAAGUAGAAAACCUGCACAGAAUACAAAUUACAAAUUAAUGUAUAAAAACCAAGUCUGUGAACAUCAGUAGGAGACAAAAAAUAUAACCGACCCUGCCACAGGACAAGAAGAGCAAGACUGUAAGCACCAGAGUACCUAUUUUACAGAAGUUAGACGCAGAUAGACCGAUAAAAGAGGCUGAAUAUACAGAGAGGAGAAUGCAGAUUAAAAAAAAAAAGUUAGGAUAAAGAAGACUUGGAAAACGCAAGAUAUCGAAGUGUAAGAAAAUAUAUUGUCUUUUUGGAUACCAAAAAGAUAGGUCAUAUAAACCCCUACGCUUCGAAACGCCUGAGAAUAGACCAAUCUAACAUCAUGUGAGAGGACAGAAUCACUAAUAAUAAGAGGAGCAGGAAUGAAGAUGACGGAGUGACGGGGUAAGAGAGAAUAAAUGACAUGCAAGAGAAGAUAAUGAAGAUUGGGAUAUUUGGAAACAGUUUUGCUAUUCUAGCGAUUUUCCUGCUAGAUCUAGAGUUUGUCACUUAUGAUCUAGCGGGAAUAUUCUGAAAGUUUACUCUGCAUUUAGCAGUCACAUUAUAUGGGAAAUGAAGAGCUUUAUUCUUA
Molecule: long non-coding RNA, 2731 nt
Organism: Penaeus monodon (black tiger shrimp)
Lineage: Eukaryota; Metazoa; Arthropoda; Malacostraca; Decapoda; Penaeidae
Exons: 4
Source: RefSeq, a predicted model, not a curated record